Molecule: ribosomal RNA, 492 nt
Filed under: uncultured bacterium
Lineage: Bacteria
Description: partial 16S ribosomal RNA
Rfam family: Bacterial small subunit ribosomal RNA
Source: RNAcentral
AGUGAACGCUGGCGGUAGGCCUAACACAUGCAAGUCGAACGGCAGCACAGUAAGAGCUUGCUCUUACGGGUGGCGAGUGGCAGACGGGUGAGGAAUACAUCGGAAUCUACUUUUUCGUGGGGGAUAACGUAGGGAAACUUACGCUAAUACCGCAUACGACCUACGGGUGAUAGCAGGGGAUCUUCGGACCUUGCGCGAUUGAAUGAGCCGAUGUCGGAUUAGCUAGUUGGCGGGGUAAAGGCCCACCAAGGCGACGAUCCGUAGCUGGUCUGAGAGGAUGAUCAGCCACACUGGAACUGAGACACGGUCCAGACUCCUACGGGAGGCAGCAGUGGGGAAUAUUGGACAAUGGGCGCAAGCCUGAUCCAGCCAUACCGCGUGGGUGAAGAAGGCCUUCGGGUUGUAAAGCCCUUUUGUUGGGAAAGAAAAGCAGCAGGUUAAUACCCCGCUGUUCUGACGGUACCCAAAGAAUAAGCACCGGCUAACUUCGUG